ACUCUGACCUCACCUUUUGCCACUCUAUACCUUAACAACUACUUUUUGGUGAGACUGGUUUUCUUUCUAUUUCUGGAACUCAUAAAGUUCUUUCCUGCCUGAGGGUCUUUGCACUAGCUAUACCCUCUCCCUGGAAUGUUCUUUCCCCAGACCUUCCCAUCGUUGGCUUUUUUUUUUUUAAUUUCUAGGUUAUCAGUUUAAAUGCUGUCUUCUCAAAGAGGCCUCUCUUGAUCACCCAGUCUAAAAUAGCACCCCCACAAAGACCAGCUACCUGAUUUGCACAACCCGGUACAAAAUGAAGAUGUGAGGGAUCUUGUAAGAAAAGGAAGAUAAAAAUGAUAUGAAAGAUUAAUAAGGAAGAACUGAAAAGAAAGGAAACUACUCUGUCCCGUCUUUACCUUUCCUUUUACUGACAUGGUUUGGCUCUGUGUGCCCACCCAAAUCUCACCUUGUUUGUGAUAAUCCCCAUGCAUCAAAGGACAGGACCAGGUGGAGAUAGUUGAAUUGCAGGGGCAGUUUCCACCAUGCUGUUCUGAUAGUGAGUGAGUUCUCAUGAGAUCUGAUGGUUCUGUAAGGGGCUUAUCCCUUCACUUGGCACUCAUUCUCUCUCUUGCUACCCUGUGAUGAGGUGCCUUCCACCAUGAUUUUAAGUUUCCUGAGGCCUCACCAACCAUGCAAACCUGUGAGUCAAACCUCUUUCCUUUGUAAACUACCCAGUCUUUGGUAUUUCUUGAUAGCAGCAUAAUAAGGGACUAAUACAUUACAUCAUCACUUUUGGAGUUAAUGGCUGGCUGCUACAAGAAUUAAUGAAAGAAGAAAAGAAUAAGACUGGGUUCUUUGGUCAUCUUUCAGAAUGUCAUUGCCUUCUUUUUGCAUUGGAAGUGUUAAAGUAAACUAUGGCCUGAGAAGGACUCUGUACUUCUAUAUUUGAGUCCUUGUGGAUGAACUGUAACCUAGCUUAAUAGACAAAAUUGAAAACCUAACUUGGUAGCAUGUACCUGUAAUAAUAGCUGAGUGUUGGCCAAUCCCAGCAGCCAUACUUCAACCACUCAUAGACUGCAGAAUGUGCAAACUGCAUUCAAAUAAGGCAAACACCGAGUAGUAACCCAUUUCACUGUUUCUGUACCUCACUUCCGAUCCCUGUACAUCACUUUACCUUUUUUGUCUAUAAAUUUGUUCUGAACACGAGGCACCCCUGGAGUCUCUAUUAAUCUGCUGUGAUUCUGGGGGCUGCUCGAUUCGCAAAUUGUUCAAUGCCCAAUUAAACUCCUUUAAAUUUAA
Homo sapiens (human) is the source of this 1281-nucleotide long non-coding RNA. RefSeq lists it as uncharacterized. NCBI's taxonomy places the organism in Eukaryota, Metazoa, Chordata, Mammalia, Primates, Hominidae. The record is from RefSeq and is a predicted model, not a curated record. The transcript is spliced from 2 exons.